UUGGAGGCAAGUCUGGUGCAGCAGCCGCGGUAUUCCAGCUCCAAUAGCGUAUAUUAAAGUUGUUGCAGUUAAAAAGCUCGUAGUUGAAUUUCGGGAUCAGAUUGUCGGUCGUGCCUCGGUACGCACUGGCAUUAUUGGUUCCUACCUUCUGAAGAACCGCGAUGUCAUUAAUUUGGUGUCGUGGGGAAUCAGGACUGUUACUUUGAAAAAAUUAGAGUGUUUAAAGCAGGCUUACGCUUGAAUACAUUAGCAUGGAAUAAUGAAAUAGGACGUUUGAUUCUAUUUUGUUGGUUUCUAGGAUUGACGUAAUGAUUAAUAGGGAUAGUUGGGGGCAUUAGUAUUCAAUUGUCAGAGGUGAAAUUCUUGGAUUUAUUGAAGACUAACUACUGCGAAAGCAUUUGCCAAGGAUGUUUUCAUUAAUCAAGAACGAAAGUUAGGGGAUCGAAGACGAUCAGAUACCGUCGUAGUCUUAACCAUAAACUAUGCCGACUAGGGAUCGGAUGAUGUUAAUUUUUUAAUGACUCAUUCGGCGCCUUACGGGAAAC
This 545-nucleotide ribosomal RNA is filed under the name uncultured Glomeromycotina. RNAcentral describes it as "SSU rRNA". It matches the Rfam family "Eukaryotic small subunit ribosomal RNA", at positions 548 to 1098 of the family's 1831-position model. The record is from RNAcentral. Lineage: Eukaryota; Fungi; Glomeromycota.